Molecule: long non-coding RNA, 3990 nt
Filed under: Solanum melongena (eggplant)
Lineage: Eukaryota; Viridiplantae; Streptophyta; Magnoliopsida; Solanales; Solanaceae
Description: long non-coding RNA (SMEL_LNC000105)
Source: RNAcentral
GUUCAAGUCGUUGAUAAAGCCAAUGUGGAAAGUAGAUUUCACUCGUGCGAUCAACUCCUACAUCAACAUUUUUUCUUCCUCCAACCAUCUCUAGGACCAUCAUUCCAUAGCUAUAGACGUCAGACUUGUGAGAGACACCUCCCAAGUUUCUGCAAACAAUUUCCGGAGCAAUAUAGCCUAUAGUACCUCGUGGACCUAACAUUGACACGACACUCUCCUUUUUUAUGCAUAGUUUGGCAAGGCCAAAGUCAGAGAUCUUUGGACAAAAAUCCUCAUCAAGUAAGAUAUUAUGAGGCUUUAUAUCAAAAUGCAAAAUCCGAGUGUUACAACCACGGUGCAAGUACUCCAAUCCUCGAGCAAUGCCUAGUGCGAUUUUGUAUAAUAUUGGCCAACUUAAUUGGCGAACAUUGUCGGAUCUUUUUUCAUAGAUAAACUUUUCAAGAGAUCCAUUAGGCAUGAACUCAUAUACAAGAGCUCUUUUCUGUCCCUCAAAACAGAAUCCCACAAGGCUCACAAUGUUAACAUGUGAUGUUCUGCUAAUACUUGCCACUUCGUUAACGAAAUCUUCACCACUGCCUUUUAGUUCAUUCAGGACCUUCACUGCCACUUCACUCCCAUCACGCAAACUUCCUCUGUAUACAUUACCAAAUCCUCCAUGGCCUAGUUUGUUUCUGAAGCGACCGGUGAUUCUUUUGAUGUCUGUAUAAUUGUAUCUGUUUGGAGCAUAUGAUCCAUAGUUCUUUAAGAAUUCUUCAACUUUUUGAUGAUCCUCAGCAUUAGAUUCCCAACACCUGAGGUAUUUGUACCACAAAAUCUUUUUUCUGAAGCAGAAGAGUAAAAUCAACAGUCCAACAGUAAACAAACUUGCACCUGUGUGAAAAAGAUGAAGUCAUGCCCCAUCAGAGACUACAACAACAACAACAUAAUAGCCAAUGUAAUCCCACAAAGUAGGGUCUGGGUAGGGUAGGUGUAAGUAGACCUUACUCUACACCAUGGACCUUCGGCACGAGAAAAAAAAAACAGUUGGGAAAAGGAAAUAACAGAAAAUGAAGAAACCAUGGCAAAACACUACAGAAAGCAUGAUCAAACAUUCUAAACAAUAGCUACAACAUAAAAUAUGACAAUCGAAGCACAACAGUAACAGAAAUCUAGCAACUAGAUACAGGAUUAUUGCUAUGCUACUAAUAGGAAAGGAUAAUCGAGAACAUCUGCAAACCAAUACCUGUGGCCACCAUGAACCAGAUUAUCCGAAGGUAACCCCUUUUUGAUGUUCCAGCUGUUACAGUGCUAACAUUUGCAAUACCAAUACUUUUAAUAACAUCUGCAACACCAAAGCUUGUGUGAGUUUCAGAUUAUAAAACUUUUCUCCGAUUAAGCGAAAAAGUCUGAUAAUGAUAGAAGGAGAAAAAGAUUUUAAUUUGGAAAGGAGGCAAGUUUUCCCCCACAUGGCUCCGCCCCUGGCCCUAACCCCAGUUUUGCUCCCACAUGGCUCUGCCCCUGCCUUACCCCAAGUUCUAAAACAGUGGAUAAGUACAUAUAUGGAGAUGUCUACCUUUGUGACAAGAAAAUUUGUUGGUUUUAUUAGUCUGGCAUUGACCUCCACCAUAAUGACAUUCUUUACAUUCCUCAGAUAAUUUCCAUUCUACUAGAAUUUCAGGACCUAACACGUCGAACAAAUCACCAUGAGUUGCCUGAAUUGGCAAUCUGAUAAGUGAACAGUUGGUAGGAAGAUUGUCUGCUCCUAUGUAUUCAUCAUCAUGUCGGGAAAGGUUGUAGUAUAUGCUAAAGCCUUCACAGCCGGUGUACAUAUUAUAACCAGCAAAAUGAUCGUUCUUCUUCUGCGUAAUGUUACGGGUAUUAUUACUGGUACUGAUGCAUUUGUAGAAGCUUAUUAUAUUAAUCAUAUGGAAAGACAUAAAAGAAGAGUAUGAAAGGGAGAAAUUUUUGUUAAAAGCCUGGCACUUGUGUUGCGUCAACGUUGUUUGAAGCUUCGUGUCCCCAAGCCAAACUGAUAAAUUAUGCAUCUCUAAAGCAUAGUACCAAUAUCCCUCAGGAAGCAGUCGGAUUCUCGGAUAUGGUUUAGCAUCACAACCAGAUAAGAACAUUAUUCCACAUUCAGGUUGUGUAGAAAGAGAGAAAGGAAAGCUUAGGUCAGUAAAAUUUCCACAUGAAAAUGACUUUGGACAAGUUGAAUCAUUUCUGCCCUUUGCCUGAACUAAGAUCAGGAGAAGUGAUAGGAGAUAGCUUACAUAUGAAGUGAUAGCCAUAUUAAAUAUCUCGAGAAGAGGAAGACUAGAUUAUGAACUCAUUUGUUCACUACAACUUAACAUUUAAAAGCAUAGUUGAUUGGGAAAAUUUGUGAGAAACGUGUAUCAUGGUGUAAAGACUUGAAGUCUUGCAUCAUUAUUUAGACUUAGUCGUCAAGCCUAGUGAAGAGACAACUAUCACUUUUUUUUACUGAGUUUUAUAGCCAUUGUUCCUUUUACCUACCUAAACUAUAUAUAUCACUCUCUUUGUAUUAAAACACACCAUGAUGCAGAGUUCGCAAAACAGGCCAAUUCAACAUCGAAGGUAUGUUUUAGUACAGAUGGAGUGAUAGUUUAGAUAGGUAAAAGUGAACAAUGGAUAGUUGAGAUAUGAAACUCGCGAAAAGGUGAUAAGAGUUAAUGGGAAAAAACACACCUAUAUCAAAGUCUAUUCUAACAUUACUGGGAGUGGAAAAGUCUCAGAAUUAUCAAUAGAUACUUCCAACAUCUAAAGGACUUUUCUCCUCUACUUAUGCAUCCUAUCCUUUUCUCUUUUUUCUUCGUUUAGUCACAAUCAUUUUCCAAGUAGGACAGUACAUACAAUUCUAUUCUAACAUUUUUAGACAUAAAAUGCUAGAGAGACAAGAAUUGAACUUAGAGACUUAAUUUUCUUCACUAUACACUGAAAUUCCAAGAACAUUUUGCUUCAUAGUCUUUAUAUACAAAAUAAGUUAUCUGAGGAACAAAUUUUAUUUGACAGAACCUACAUAGUGUGCUUCUGAUGCCAAUGUUCAAUAGAACAUUUAACUAAGAAAUGAACCUACAUAAGUGUUGACAUUCUUGGGAAUGAUGUACUAGUUAAUCGUUUUCGUUCCAUCGCAUACUCGAUUAAAGGAGUUUUUUUUUCAAGAAGAGAGAUCUCAAACUUAAAGGACUGAGAACUCUUCUUCCUCAAGAAAUUUUGAAGAAUAGGGAAUUCAAGUCUUUUUAAUAUUUAACUUCCAUGUAGUAAUAUACAUCCUUGACAACUAAUGAAAAUCACAAAAUGAAAUUGAAAGCUAUGGUUGAACACUUGAACUAAACCUUUCUUCUCUUUGCUAGUUAAGUACCAACAAGUACUUAGUUAACUAAACUGUCUUGCAUUUCUUUCAAACCAUUUUCUGCAAAACGAUUUUCUUGAGCUUAGGGUCUAUCAGGAACAACCUCUCUACUCCACAAAGGUGGAUGCAAGUUUUGCAUACACCCUACUCUUCUCACACCCCACUUGCGGGACUAUACUGGAUAUGUUGUUGUUGUUGUUGUUGUUGCCAGUUCUAUUGUUGAUGAAUCUACCUCUGAUCUUGAGGGAGAAUAUAGGUAAGGUUUGGGAGGCAUUUGCAAAGAGUCUAGUUUCCCUUCUAACAUUUCCACAACCUUGCUCAUCGAUGGUCGAUUUGCCGGAUCAGUCUGUAUACACCAUAAACUUGCUAUCACCAUCUUUCUUGCACAUUCGUUCUCCUCUUCAUUCAUUAUCCCCAUUAGUUGAAGCUCUUCGUCUAGUUCAAUUCGUCGAUAGAUCCAAUGUGGAUAGUAGACUUCACUCGUGCGAUCAACUCCAACAUCAACAUUUUUUCUUCCUCCAACCAUCUCUAGGACCAUCAUUCCAUAGCUAUAGACAUCAGACUUGUGAGAGACACCUCCCAAGUUUCUGCAAACAAUUUCUGGAGCAAUAUAACCUAUAGUACCUCGUGGACCUAACAUUGAC